Molecule: non-coding RNA, 812 nt
Organism: Pantherophis guttatus
Lineage: Eukaryota; Metazoa; Chordata; Lepidosauria; Squamata; Colubridae
Source: RefSeq, a predicted model, not a curated record
UAUUUUAUUUUUUUUCCCCCUCCGACCGUCUGCGCCGCCUCGAUAACCCAGGCUUCUUGUCUUUGGAACGGAGGCGACGGAGCCUGGACGAGGAAGCAGGGAGCAGUCGGGCUGGGCGGCAAAGCCAACCAUACAGGAUUGGUUUGUAUUGGGAUAGCGUUUAGGAGCACGUGGGCCGCGUAGGAACCCGCGUGGUGCGCAGCUAUAUUACACACAGGCGGUUGGCGCGCUGUUGUUGCGCGCUGCCUUUUAGCGUUGCCCAUGCUUCCUUGUCCAGCUGCAUUGGAGAUGGAGCGCGCGUACAUUCCGCCCACCACUCUCUGCCUGUAUCGCUCUGGCCCUGCUGUGUGGGUUUUUAGCCCGGGGCCGCCGAAGCCAUUAGGCCAUCAUAUUCCUAUCUCCAUGAUUUAAGCCAGCCUUCCCCUAUAUUGUAGAAGACCACAACUCUUGUUUCCAGAAACCAUGGUGGGUCACUCUGCUGAGAGAUGAUGUUGGCUAUGGGCAAACACCGUUCCAGAUUAGGAAAAGAUGGACUGGCAUUGGCCAGAAGCGUUUGAACGGCAGUUCACAAGAACCUCAGCUAGCAAGAAAUGUCACCUAUGAAGAAGAACAAGAUAAACUGUAUAUAAUCAUGUUUAAUGAUAUCUGUUAGUAAGAACAGUUGGAGUUACAGCCCAAUAUGGUAUUGUGGUGGGGAACACUGAUCUAGGAAAAAUUCUUCCUCAGCUCCCGUUUGGUCCUCUUACAAAUAUAUUUUCUGUACUUCAUGUUCAUGUGGGAAUAGGUAUUAAACUAAAUUUCCUCAAGGCACA